Molecule: ribosomal RNA, 253 nt
Filed under: uncultured bacterium
Lineage: Bacteria
Description: partial 16S ribosomal RNA
Rfam family: Bacterial small subunit ribosomal RNA
Source: RNAcentral
UACGUAGGGUGCAAGCGUUGUCCGGAAUUAUUGGGCGUAAAGAGCUCGUAGGCGGUCUGUCGCGUCGGCUGUGAAAACCCGGGGCUCAACCCCGGGCCUGCAGUCGAUACGGGCAGACUAGAGUGCGGUAGGGGAGACUGGAAUUCCUGGUGUAGCGGUGAAGUGCGCAGAUAUCAGGAGGAACACCGAUGGCGAAGGCAGUGGGCUGGGCCGGCACUGACGCUGAGGAGCGAAAGCGUGGGGAGCGAACAGG